Long non-coding RNA from Rhinolophus ferrumequinum (greater horseshoe bat), 567 nucleotides. RefSeq lists it as uncharacterized. Lineage: Eukaryota; Metazoa; Chordata; Mammalia; Chiroptera; Rhinolophidae. The transcript is spliced from 3 exons. The record is from RefSeq and is a predicted model, not a curated record.
GGUUGCUGGCGACCAGACCCUGCGCAGACAAGACCCCGCCCAGCUGGGUUAGCCAACGCGUCCCGGUGGAUCCUCAGGCCAACUGGAAGCCUGGGGAACCCGGGUCUGUCUGCCUUGACGCCAUCCGGGACCUGGGGCGGGGUCUCCACACUCACACAAGCCAUGGCUGAGGACAAGACGAUGGUCCUGGGAACUGAUGGUCCUGGGAACUGACGCACCAGCUGUCUGAAGACUCCACCCGAAAGAUGGGGCCCUGGGCCGCUCCCAUCCUUUUAAAUGGACCAGACCACCGCAGAUACUUUACUGAGCACCUGCUGUGUGCCUGGCCCUGAGCUGGUCUGAGAGGAUUCAAAGAUGGAACUCACAGUUCCUGCUGUCAAGCAGCCCGCUGUUAGGGCAGAAUCUGGCUAUGAACUUAAUGAAGAAAUAGUACGAUAUUGGCUCUAAGGGAAGUCGUGAGCAAAGCAUCAUGGUGAAGGUGGGUCUUGAAGGAUGGGUGAAGAAGGCGGGCUGGCAUUCCAGCUUGGGCAGAUCUGGGGAACAGCAAGCAUAUGAGCAUGGAUGGAG